This 188-nucleotide unclassified non-coding RNA is filed under the name plant metagenome. RNAcentral's name for it is "partial contains small subunit ribosomal RNA, internal transcribed spacer 1, and 5.8S ribosomal RNA". The record is from RNAcentral.
UCUCCGUAGGUGAACCAGCGGAGGGAUCAUUACUGAAUUUCCCUUGCGCCUUCAACCCAUCAAACCUUAGGUCCGCGAAAAUUGUCGUUCAGGGCUGCGACGGCGGCGUCCGGUUUAUGCGGCAAGCUGGAUUCUGUGUGAUCUAUAAAUAAGAUUAAAAACUUUCAACAACGGAUCUCUUGGCUCUG